RNAcentral lists this ribosomal RNA (293 nucleotides) under Bacteroidales bacterium. RNAcentral describes it as "partial 23S ribosomal RNA". It matches the Rfam family "Bacterial large subunit ribosomal RNA", at positions 2621 to 2925 of the family's 2925-position model. Lineage: Bacteria; Pseudomonadati; Bacteroidota; Bacteroidia; Bacteroidales. The record is from RNAcentral.
GUGAGACAGUUCGGUCUCUAUCUAUCGUGGGCGUUAGAAAUUUGCGAGGCUCUGACACUAGUACGAGAGGACCGUGUUGGACAGACCUCUGGUUUACCGGUUGUACCGCCAGGUGCAUCGCCGGGUAGCCACGUCUGGGCAAGGAUAAGUGCUGAAAGCAUCUAAGCACGAAGCCUACCUCAAGAUUAAAUUUCUUUAUAAGGGUGGUUGUAGACUACGACCUUGAUAGGCUGCAGGUGUAAAGGUGGUAACAUCAAAGCCGAGCAGUACUAAUUACCCGUAAUCUUUUUUUC